This 253-nucleotide ribosomal RNA is filed under the name uncultured bacterium. Its description in RNAcentral is "partial 16S ribosomal RNA". It matches the Rfam family "Bacterial small subunit ribosomal RNA", at positions 524 to 776 of the family's 1533-position model. The record is from RNAcentral.
UACAGAGGUGGCAAGCGUUGUUCGGAAUUACUGGGCGUAAAGGGCGCGUAGGCGGCCUUCUAAGUCAGACGUGAAAUCCCCCGGCUUAACCUGGGAACUGCGUCUGAUACUGGGAGGCUUGAGUAUGGGAGAGGGAUGUAGAAUUCCAGGUGUAGCGGUGAAAUGCGUAGAUAUCUGGAGGAACACCGGUGGCGAAGGCGGCAUCCUGGACCGGCAUUGACGCUGAGGCGCGAAAGCUAGGGGAGCAAACGGG